UAGUACGAAGCAAUAAAGUGUAUAUUUCAAGAAAUAUUUCUGAUCCUGAAAUAUUUCUGAAAUAAUUAUCGACUAUUGCGCACAAUUAUAUUUCACUAUCCAUUAAGGAUUUGCCUGAAUUUACUGGUUACGACAAGUAUUUCUUCAUUUUUUCCACUCGAUUAUGAGUGGGUUUAUCAGUAGCAGUAAAUUGGUUGGAUUUAAGAAGGUAAGUGCUGUUGAGAUUGACUAAUCUAAUCGAGUUUCUUUUUGUUUUAAGAGUCUCAUAAUUGCCCACUUUUGGCAUGCUUACCUCACAGUUGGCAUGCUGGAAAAAUUGCCUAAAAACCACUGAAGUGGAUGAAAAGAAAUUCAGUACAUUUCACAUAUGUUGCUCGAAAAAUUUUUUGGGCCUUAAAUUUUGUGGGCAUUUCCAACAAUACGAAUGGAGAAGCUGGUAAAAAUAUAAACUUUAGUAUGUGCCUCCAUAGCCGAGGCCAGUUAUGUGUAUUGUUGCCGGUUAUUGGUAUUGUAGAGGGCAGCACUUGUAAUCUUAAGAAUGAAUAUAUUGCAAAAUCAAUCUGUAUGGUAUUAAAAACUUGAAGUAGAAAA
This is a long non-coding RNA of Dendroctonus ponderosae (mountain pine beetle), 591 nucleotides long. RefSeq lists it as uncharacterized. The transcript is spliced from 2 exons. Lineage: Eukaryota; Metazoa; Arthropoda; Insecta; Coleoptera; Curculionidae. The record is from RefSeq and is a predicted model, not a curated record.